GAUGGAGGGGGAUAACCACUGGAAACGGUGGCUAAUACCGCAUAACCUCUGUGGAGUAAAGUGGGGGACCUUCGGGCCUCACGCCAUCGGAUGAACCCAGAUGGGAUUAGCUAGUAGGUGGGGUAAUGGCUCACCUAGGCGACGAUCCCUAGCUGGUCUGAGAGGAUGACCAGCCACACUGGGACUGAGACACGGCCCAGACUCCUACGGGAGGCAGCAGUGGGGAAUAUUGCACAAUGGGCGCAAGCCUGAUGCAGCCAUGCCGCGUGUAUGAAGAAGGCCUUCGGGUUGUAAAGUACUUUCAGCGGGGAGGAAGGCAACAGCGUAAAUAGCGCUGUUGAUUGACGUUACCC
RNAcentral lists this ribosomal RNA (353 nucleotides) under Xenorhabdus bovienii. RNAcentral's name for it is "bacterial SSU rRNA". It matches the Rfam family "Bacterial small subunit ribosomal RNA", at positions 132 to 480 of the family's 1533-position model. The record is from RNAcentral. Lineage: Bacteria; Pseudomonadati; Pseudomonadota; Gammaproteobacteria; Enterobacterales; Morganellaceae.